RNAcentral lists this unclassified non-coding RNA (191 nucleotides) under uncultured Boletales. RNAcentral's name for it is "sequence contains ITS1". Lineage: Eukaryota; Fungi; Basidiomycota; Agaricomycetes; Boletales. The record is from RNAcentral.
UCGAUUCUAUAGUGGCAAGUGUCGGAAGCGCUGUGCUGGCUCGCAAGGGCAUGUGCACGCGCAUCUGGCCUUGUCAAAAAAACCUCAUUCACACCUUGUGCACUUAUUGUAGGUUCUGCAAUGGACCUAUGUCUUUCGAUGCGCUCCAUAGUAUGUCUAUAGAAUGUUAUUUGGGAUGGCACAAUGCUAUA